UUUGAAAUUAGCAGUAGUCAGCCUUUUCUUAUUAGUUCCUUAUACUGCUGAUUUUUAAUGAUGAGAAUGAUUUAACAAAAGAUUUGCUAAUUUUGUUAAUUGGAAAGCUUGAUAAAGGUUGGAUUUCUGUUUUAUUAGACCUAAUAAAAUGUAUUUUCUUUUGGGAUUUAGUUAUUCCCCCAACACAGAGAAAGGGACGAGACGAAACAAAAAGAGAGAGAGAGAGAGACAAGAGAACAGGCAAGAACGAAAAGAAGGAGAAGAGAGAGACGGGAAGCUCUUGCUUAUAUUGCUACUUUGUCUAUGUAAUUUUGCUGAUGGAGAUCUUCAACAUCAGUGGUUAUUUGUUUGGAACAAAUAAACACUACAGACUGAAAGCACACUGGAAGAUCACAUGAUGAUAGUUACUGAUGUUGGAUUUAGAACAAAUCUCCUAAACAGAAUAAGGACAAGUAUGAUCGUAGAGUUCUACGAGUUCAGAGUCGAUGAGUAAAAUAGAGGCAAUGUUUGAAGCUGAACUUGAGAGGUUAGGGCUAAACAGCAGUACUUCUACUUUGGAGCGAAGAUUAAUUUGAGAGCUUCCAAACAGUGUUCAUCAAGUUUCUGAAGAUUACAUUUGGGAAAACUCUAAUACUUUACAGGCCAGUGUUUACAUCAGAGGAAGUCAAGCCAUAACAUCAACAACUAGAACUUGCCUGGUGGCUCCAAAUGAUCACAGAACACUAAGCCUAGAUGCUUUACAAAAGAAUGCACCAACUGUGAAGAACAGACUGCUGCUGUUUGAUUUGUAGCACCAUCGAGGUGGAAGCAGCUUCUCAGGAUUAUGCUCAUGUCAAAGCGUCCUAAAAUCCCCCCUUCUGGCCCAAGCCACAGGACCAACAAGACACCUAAUCCCUCAAGAGAUUACUAAACACUUCUAUUAUUUGUAUACAGAGAACAGCAUUUCCAACUGAAGUUUGGUUGAAUUUUUUGGCAAACUUCUUCAUGUGUUUCUGAUUUUGUUUGAUGGGUUUGAUUAUUCUUCUAUCGUUU
Molecule: long non-coding RNA, 1032 nt
Organism: Rosa rugosa (rugosa rose)
Lineage: Eukaryota; Viridiplantae; Streptophyta; Magnoliopsida; Rosales; Rosaceae
Exons: 6
Source: RefSeq, a predicted model, not a curated record